GACGAACGCUGGCGGCGUGCUUAACACAUGCAAGUCGAGCGGUAAGGCCCUUUCGGGGGUACGACGAGCGGCGAACGGGUGAGUAACACGUGGGUGACCUGCCCUCCAGCUCUGGGAUAAGCCUGGGAAACCGGGGUCUAAUACCGGAUAUGACUCCAUGACGCAUGUUGUGGGGUGGAAAGCCUUGUGCGGCUGAGGAUGGGCCCGCGGCCUAUCAGCUUGUUGGUGGGGUGAU
RNAcentral lists this ribosomal RNA (235 nucleotides) under uncultured bacterium. RNAcentral describes it as "partial 16S ribosomal RNA". It matches the Rfam family "Bacterial small subunit ribosomal RNA", at positions 28 to 261 of the family's 1533-position model. The record is from RNAcentral.